GUUGUGGCUCAGCGGUAGAGUAUUCGCCUGGCAUGUGCAAGGCCCUGAGUUCGUUCCUCAGCACCACG
Molecule: transfer RNA, 68 nt
Filed under: Marmota monax (woodchuck)
Lineage: Eukaryota; Metazoa; Chordata; Mammalia; Rodentia; Sciuridae
Description: tRNA.Ala
Rfam family: tRNA (bases 3-63)
About the family: Transfer RNA (tRNA) molecules are approximately 80 nucleotides in length. Their secondary structure includes four short double-helical elements and three loops (D, anti-codon, and T loops). Further hydrogen bonds mediate the characteristic L-shaped molecular structure. tRNAs have two regions of fundamental functional importance: the anti-codon, which is responsible for specific mRNA codon recognition, and the 3' end, to which the tRNAs corresponding amino acid is attached (by aminoacyl-tRNA synthetases). tRNAs cope with the degeneracy of the genetic code in two manners: having more than one tRNA (with a specific anti-codon) for a particular amino acid; and 'wobble' base-pairing, i.e. permitting non-standard base-pairing at the 3rd anti-codon position.
Source: RNAcentral